This 465-nucleotide ribosomal RNA is filed under the name uncultured bacterium. RNAcentral describes it as "partial 16S ribosomal RNA". It matches the Rfam family "Bacterial small subunit ribosomal RNA", at positions 29 to 507 of the family's 1533-position model. The record is from RNAcentral.
AAUGAACGUUGGCGGCGUGGAUUAGGCAUGCAAGUCGAGCGAGAACCCCGCAAGGGGGGACAGCGGCGAAAGGGACAGUAAUGUGUAGAUUAUCUGCCCUCAGGUCCGGGAUAGCUGCGGGAAACUGCAGGUAAUACCGGAUAACAUCUCCGGAUCAAAGGUGUGAUUCCGCCUGAGGAUGAGUCUGCAUCCUAUUAGCUAGUUGGUGGGGUAAUGGCCUACCAAGGCAUUGAUGGGUAGCAGGUGUGAGAGCACGACCUGCGUCAUUGGGACUGAGACACUGACCAGACACCUACGGGUGGCUGCAGUCGAGAAUCUUCGGCAAUGGGCGCAAGCCUGACCGAGCGACGCCGCGUGUGGGAUGAAGGCCUUCGGGUUGUAAACCACUGUCAGAGGGGAUGAAAUGCAGGUGGGUUCUCCCAUCUGUUUGACAUAGCCUCAGAGGAAGGACGGGCUAAGUUCGUG